Molecule: transfer RNA, 54 nt
Filed under: Calophya nigra
Lineage: Eukaryota; Metazoa; Arthropoda; Insecta; Hemiptera; Calophyidae
Description: tRNA-Leu
Source: RNAcentral
AUGUGGCAGAAUUAAUGCACUAAAUUUAAGAUUUAGCUAUGAAUUCCUUUAGGA